This is a long non-coding RNA of Carya illinoinensis, 892 nucleotides long. RefSeq lists it as uncharacterized. The transcript has 2 exons. The record is from RefSeq and is a predicted model, not a curated record. NCBI's taxonomy places the organism in Eukaryota, Viridiplantae, Streptophyta, Magnoliopsida, Fagales, Juglandaceae.
UAUACGUCAUUGUUUUGCUUCAGAAGAGAAUGGUGGUGUUAAAAGAAUAUUGGAGGAGGCCGUGAAAGAGGGAGACCAGCAAACAACUUCAAAUUCUGACGAGAUGGGAGUGAAAAAGAUGGUACAAAGAUGCGAUUUCUAUUUGUAUUUUUUCAUGUACCUUUGUGGGCCAACGCUGGGACUGGUGUUUUUUAACAACUUGGCUCAAAUAGCUGAAUCCCGUGGCCACUCUGCAAGCUCUUUAGUCUCUUUGUCUUCUUCGUUCGGGUUCUUCGGCCGUCUCAUCCCAUCCUUUACGGACUACUGCUUCUUUCGGUCUCCAUUAUCAUUUCUUUUAGAAAAGGACUAAGUAUGAGGUGAUUUCAAGACCAACAUCUUUGGCAGCAGUAUCAAUGGCUCUGAUGGCAUUAGCUUUCUUCUUACUAAUUGUUCCCUCCAGUACCACCAUCCUCUUAUACAUCAGCACUGCCAUUAUAGGAUUAUGUGCCGGAGCAAUUUCAUCUGUCGGUGUAUGCAUCACCGCAGACUUGUUCGGGAGGAAGAAAUUUUCUCAGAAUCAUAAUGUGGUGAUUGCCAAUAUUCCAGUGGGAUCCUUAACUUUUGGUUGCCUGGCAGCUUUCCUUUACCGCAGGGAAGGAAACGGAGAUGUUAUAUGCAUGGGAAUGAAAUGCUACGGAACGACAUUUGUAAUCUGGGGUUCAUUAUGUGCUUUUGGGACAUUCCUAUCUUGUGGUCUCUAUGCUCGAACACGAAAGCUUUAUACGCAAAAGUUGCAGAAUAUGACUUUAUAGCAGCUAGCCCUAGUCGCCUGCACGCAAUAUAUGUUUAACUUAUUGCGCCUUCUUAGUCCCACAGCGGUGGGAUAUAAAUAAAGAAAUAUUAGUUCAAGUUA